AGCGAGCGCUGGCGGCAGGCUUAACACAUGCAAGUCGAGCGGGCAUCUUCGGAUGUCAGCGGCAGACGGGUGAGUAACACGUGGGAACGUACCCUUCGGUUCGGAACAACUCUGGGAAACUGGAGCUAAUACCGGAUACGCCCUUAUGGGGAAAGGUUUACUGCCGAAGGAUCGGCCCGCGUCUGAUUAGCUAGUUGGUGGGGUAACGGCCUACCAAGGCGACGAUCAGUAGCUGGUCUGAGAGGAUGAUCAGCCACACUGGGACUGAGACACGGCCCAGACUCCUACGGGAAGCAGCAGUGGGGAAUAUUGGACAAUGGGCGCAAGCCUGAUCCAGCCAUGCCGCGUGAGUGAUGAAGGCCUUAGGGUUGUAAAGCUCUUUUGUCCGGGACGAUAAUGACGGUACCGGAAGAAUAAGCCCCGGCUAACUUCGUG
This 435-nucleotide ribosomal RNA is filed under the name uncultured bacterium. RNAcentral describes it as "partial 16S ribosomal RNA". It matches the Rfam family "Bacterial small subunit ribosomal RNA", at positions 29 to 507 of the family's 1533-position model. The record is from RNAcentral.